Non-coding RNA from Podarcis lilfordi (Lilford's wall lizard), 39123 nucleotides. The record is from the annotation of a GenBank genome assembly. Lineage: Eukaryota; Metazoa; Chordata; Lepidosauria; Squamata; Lacertidae.
GUGGCGGAGGGUUCGGCUGACUUGACAAUGGGCCCAGGAAAUCCCAAGUCAGUACUUAGGGUUACCCCCACCCCCUUUCCUUUCCUUUCCGUUCCUUUUCUUUAAAAUGUUUUUUUUAAAAAAAAAAAAAAACCCAGCCCAUGCUCAUUUCUUUCUGCUUCUUUGGUACUGCUAUUAAUAUGCCUUCCUGUAAUUUGUAACAUUAACAUUGCUAAAGGUACAGGAAAGGACACCGAAAUGAAGAUGUCAGAACUGCUGACUUAGUUCAGCGUAUGAUAAUAUGGGCUACAUAUGGAAAUGGUCGAGAGAUAACUAGAAAGAUCGAGAUGAAAACAGUAAAGAAACUCCAUGGAAAUGAUGAUAAAUUAUCGAAGCCUGAAAAAUCUAUUUCGGCACAUUUUUAUUUCUCUCUGUUUUUUAAAGCCCUGUGUUUAAACGCAUUCUUGUCGACUGCAUCCCAAUGUGUGUGUACUUUACUUAUGCAAAUAGUAUUUCUGUUGCUGUAUCUUUUGAGUUUUAUCGAUCAGCAGAAUUCUGAAUAGGAUACCCUUGCAAGCUCAGUCAUCUAACACAACCCAUUGCUAACCUUUCUUAAGGAUGGAGCUUUCUGAAACGUGCUGCCAAUCAAACCGAAAUUUGUAAGUUGGAAGAAACGUUUUAAUUAAGGAAUUUUAAACACAACAUUUCUCUCAUGUUUUGUUUUAAAGGAUAAACAUAGCUAUUUGUGCUUGCUUAGAAAAUAAAAUAACAUUCAAUUACCCUUUCCUGCAUGUUCACUUAGUAACAAUAAAUCUGUUUGUUAAUGCUAAUAAUAAUGGUACUUUUAAAAAAAAGGGAUUUUCAAUAAAUGGUCACGAAAUUUAAUCAUCCCAGUAAAUUAAAUGUAAACUUCUCAAAAAUCAGUAAACAUAUUGAGUAAGCAGAAAUAUGAGAAAGGGAUGUUGAUAUAGGGGAAAAUUAUAAUAAUAAAGUUUUAUAACAGCAUUAAAAAUUGUAUUGUAACUAAUGUAUAAUAACAUAUUUAAUCACUUUAGCUACUGGGGAGUAAGCCUCAAUGAACUCAAUCAGACAUAUCACUGAGUAGACAUGUAUAGGAUUGCAGUAUUGAUCAACCAUAUAGGACAUCAACACUGCAACGAUGCGCAUAUCUACUCAGAAGUAAACCCAACUGAGUUCAAUGGGUGUUACUCCCAGGUAGGUGUGUAUAGGAUUGCAAAUCAAGGCUUGUAUUAAUCAAGCUGCAUAGUAACUUUUUAAGAUAAGACUGUUAGAAGGGAUUGCACAUGAAUAUUAACUACUUAAUUUGCAGGAAAGUAGCAUGAGCUCCUAUCUUGGUUCAAAAAUACAUAAAUGGUUGGAAAAGUUGUUGUUUGCUACUGAAGUUAAAAAAUAAAAUAUAGCCAGUGAUUGGGUAGCAUUUUAAACACACGUGGGUCAUCAAACUUCUGAGCUAGGAGAAAGCGCUUCUGAUCAUACAAGGCAGGGCAUCUUAUUUUUGUUGAUCUUCAUACCUCCUGUGACCCCCCUCCUGUAACCCCCUCUUGAGGGUUGGUGGACUUCCCUGAACAGGACAGGAUGUGGCACAGAGUACUGCAAGAGGCAGGCAGACAUAGGGAAACUGGGUGCCCUGCAUGGCACAGUAUUGCCACUGGACCCUGAAGUUCAGUUGCAAGAAUUCUCUGCGGAAUGUUUAUAGGAGGGCUCCAAACUCUGCACUGCGUUGUGCCGUGCCGUGUGCCCCUCACAAUGGAAGCUUUUGCAAACAGAAGAGGCAAGCGGUUUUUGCAAAGUCCCCCUUUUGUCUGCAGCCCUGUGCGCUGUCUUGUAGGGGAAGGGCGGUAGCUCAAGAGGUAGACUGGAUCCACUUUGCAUGCUGAAGGUUCAAUCCCUUGUGUGGCGUUUGCCCAUUUGUUUAGAGCCUGUCUGUACAGGGGGAAAGAAAGGGUUGAAAAUGUAGACCAAUAGGAAAGCCUAGAUGUGUAUAAAAGGGCUUAGCCCGAGGUUUGUUAGAGUUGUCGGUGGGUUGGUUUUAGUGGGUUGGCUGGUUGGGAAAGGCAAUUGGAGAAGCAGUUGGCAGGCAGUUGGAAACAGAGAGACAGGGCAGUGGGUUCUUGAGUGAGGGGAGGUAGAAGAGAUAGAGAGAGGAAAAUAAGACUAAGAAAGUAAAGAGUAACAACAUUUGGAAUGCCGUAAAAGUUUGUUUGUGUCUGAAAUAAAAUACUCUGUUCUUUAUUAACUUGAGAAUCUGACUAAGAUUGAAGUGAUUUUACCUGGUUGGUGGCAGUAGAUUAGUGGUGUACAGGUCAAUAAUCCGUGAGACGACCGGGGGCUCUGUACGAAUGCCACACCUUGCGUCUCCAGUGAGCUCUGAGAAUGUUCACCAUUAGAAAUCCUGGAGAGCGGCACCCAGUCGACGUAAACAACACUGAGCGAGACGGAUCAGUGGUCUGACUCAGCAGCUUUCUAUAUUCCUCCAACACCACUACCAAAAGUCAAACCAACUGUCUGGACCAGGUCUCGGGGGCCAUGGGGAGCUAUCUCCCUCAUGCACUACUCACAGAAGCAUCCACUGGACGUCAGAACUUUCUGUAAGUGGAGGGGCACAACUGGAUAUAAUCUGUUUGAUUUGAAGGCAUAAUCCCUAAUACACAGAAGUCUAGCUGUGCAUAAAAAAACUAUUGCCUACACAUGGGUCAUCCAUCAGAGCUAUUUCCAUAAGUACAGGAGGGUGUAGCACAAGGAAUAAUUUUCUGUAUUCAGUACCAAGUAAACAGGAGAUUGAAUCCAGGCAACUACCACAUGCAGUGCUAUUCCUCCCUCCUCUAGAAGGGUUAAGCCACCAUUUGGAAAGGAGGGGCGAUGGUGGCUUAUAGGUAAUGUCUGAAGAGGGUCCCACCCCUCUUCACCAUUCUCAUUAACCUCAAACGUGAAAAGUGAUCUCCUCAAGCAAUGAACCUCCUGUAUUUGCAGAGGAUCACUAUACAUUUUAAAGCCCUAUGUAUGGGGAGCCUCCACAAGCCCCGAAGACUCUCCAGUCAGUCCACAUGGUCACCCUCCAACUCACGUCACAAGAAUGGUGAUGAAGGGGCAGAGCAAGCACACUAACACCCUUUACAUGCUAACUUAACCCUUACAGAUUAGAGGGGGCUCUGGUAAUUAGGCAAUAAAAAAUUGUCUACUCAUUUAUACCAGAGGUGGGAGACCUGUAGCCCUUCAGAUGUUGGAGUCCAAUUCCCAUCAGCCCAGCCAGCACAACCAAUGGUAAGGGAUGCUGGGAGCUGUCAUUCAAAACAUCUAGUGAGCCACAGGUUCUCCAGCCCUGAUUUUUACUUACAUCUGUUUUAUAUACUUCAAAAUAUAUAAUUCAAACUACAGUCUGUGCUGGCUUCCCAGCUAGCAUCAAAUUUUACAGUUUGACUGGGGAUGCACAAAACACAUGUGUGAAAGCAGCUUAGCCCUAGCUGGCCUCCUCCCUACCAGAGGUAUAUUCUGUGUUUUGUCAUGUUUUCACCAUGGAUUGGUGCUCUAUUUAUUACACAUGUGGGGAACCUUUGCCCCCCCCAGAUGUUGCUGAACUACAACUCCCAUCAGCCACAGCAAGCACAGCCAAUUACCAAGGAUAAUGGAAGUUGUAGUUUAUCAACAUCUGGAAGGUCAAAUUUCCCACACCUGAUUUAUUAGGUGAUUCAUGGAACUUCUAAUUGUGCAUUUUAUGUCUUUAAGUAUAUGAUGUGUCUAAGUUAUUAAAUCAUUUUGGCAAAUGUAUUUCUUAUUCAACAAAAAAUACGUGUGAUAGGAGGCAGCAUGGCUCCAGAGCAAGCUGUACAUGCAUCCUCUUGUGUGGAAAUCUGUUUUACAUAAAUGUGUGGCUGAGAGAUGUUGUCUUUUGUAUGUGACAGAGUUGCUGUUUUCGAACAAUAUGUUUACGAGAAGGUUGAAUCUGUGUUCCCUGGAAUGAAAGUAUCAAAUGUAGCAAGGUUGCACAUAGCAUCCUUGAGUGAUCUAGGAGUGUUUUUUUAAAAAAAACAUAUAUUAAAAGCUGUUCAAGCCUUGAUUUUAAGAUUUUUGUGACAGCAAAAUUGCCACUGUCAACAUAAAGGCAAAAUAUAAACCUGAAAGGAGCGGCAGGGGUGCGGUGGGAGACAACUCCACAGCAAGUCUCGGCUUUCAGUGGCCAAAAAUAAACCAGUUCUUGGCUGAAAGACAUAAGUGCUAUUGUGAAAUUGAUAUCCCUUCUUGGCUUAUUCCCAGACAAUAUGUUGCCUUUCUGGGGGCUGAUCAAUAUGAUUGAUGUGAUGUGUGAAAUUCAGGAGGGAGCUCCCCUUUAAUCAAGCCCACUCUCCUCGACAGAUAGGCAGCUGCGGACUAACAUGUUCUUCAAACUGUCUCCUCCCCGCUGCCCAAACGGAGGGGAAAAGGAAGAGCAAACUGCAAAAAGGGAACAUGAGAUGGCAGCAAGCGCGCAGUGCAUUGGAGAAAUCUGUGCACACACACCCCACCGCUCCAAGUGUCAUAAACAAGCCACAAAAGAUGGUCAUUUCAGGCUACUUCGAAGGGACGGUGAUGAAGUUGUUCCUAUCUGCUUAGCAACUCAGCUUGGGAAUCUGGCUGCUUUCCGAGAGCUUCCGCCCUCUCUUUCUCUGUUAUAAUAUUGAUUUGCUACUGGUAUCAAAUUUUUUUGGCUUGCACAAGGAUGAAAUAAGUCGAGCUAAAAAUAUCAGAUGAAGGUUGCAACACUUUACUCUUUUAGACAUGAUGCAAUUAUCUGUGCAAAGAAUUUUAAGUACCAGCUCUCCCCGGCAAGAAAACAUUCCUGGGUCGCGAGCCUAUAGGUUUUCCCUACGCUUAUACAACAGAAGAGGCGCUGCCUGUUUUGAACGGCAGCGCUUUUGAAAGGAAAGGGGAAAGAUAGGGAUUGUGUUCUUUCAAAACCAAGCAGCAAUUAAAUUGUUAAUGCUUUCCCCCUAGAUGGUGUUACAAAUUAAACCGAUUACAUUGAAUCGAUUAACAUUACAGGAGGGCCUUCCUUUUUAAUAAUAAUUUUUAAAAGGUUUCCCAUGGUUGUUUCGGAGGUAUGAACCUCAUUUUGUUAACCUUUCCAUGUGUUGCAAGAUUCACCGAUCACCACCUGGUGCCAGAUUGCCGACUAAUUAUGUCAUAAGCAAUCUCCUAACCAUGUGUAGUUAGCUCUGCCUGGAAAAGAUAGAGCACCUUAAAUGGCUGAAUACUUUUCUCAGAGGAGCAUUUUGAACCAUCGACAGACAGCUAAAGAGAACAACGAAGAGAGCAAGGGCAGGUGAAUAACAGUUGGCUCCUCAGAUCCCUCGAUGGAACGUGUUCUUUUCCCAAGAUCUCAGACAGAAGCACCCAUCAGGAAUCUCAGCUAGAGUUCCAAUGGCAGAGCAUCCUUUGAGCCUGGUUUCAACAAUGGAAAGGUGCAUACAAAUAAAGCUAUGUAUGUAUGUAUGUAUGUAUGUAUGUAUGUGUGUAUGUAUGUAUAAAAUUCCCACCAACCCCAGCCAGCAUGGUCAAUAGCCAGAAAUGAUGGGAGUUGUAGUCCAACAACUUCUGGGGAGCCACAUGUUCGCUAUCUCUUCCCUGUAAGCACUAGCAAUUUCGUCAGAGGCAAGGACACCAAAAAAAUAACAGGGGCUAUGCAUGGAAGGCUGAUCGCCGAAGAAUUGAUGCUUUUGAAUUAUGGUGCUGGAGGAGACUCUUGAGAGUCCCAUGGACUGCUAGAAGAUCAAACCUAUCCAUUCUGAAGGAAAUCAGCCCUGAGUGCUCACUGGAAGGACAGAUCGUGAAGCUGAGGCUCCAAUACUUUGGCCACCUCCUGAGAAGAGAAGACUCCCUGGAAAAGACCCUGAUGCUGGGAAAGAUGGAGGGCACAAGGAGAAGGGGACGACAGAGGACAAGAUAAUGUUCUCAAAGCUACCAGCAUGAGUUUGACCAAACUGCGGGAGGCAGUGGAAGACAGGACGACUAAACAACAACAACAUGUAAAUUCUCAGUUUACUCCGAACCUCUGCUGGUUGUAGGUAUGACCCAACCUGAACUUUGCCUGUAGAUUUCUCUUUGCUUCUUUUGGAGCUGUCCAUGGUACUGCUUCCUUGCUGACCAGACUCUCAGUUGCUUCUUACUACAGCACCAGUGAGGGGUAAGUUUCCUUCACCAGACCUGAUGGCAACCAGCUAUGGCACUUGCAAUUUUGUCCUCCAAGAGAUUAGAACAUCACGGGGGGUGCUCCAGAGGAAUGACCCUCCCUCUACGCUAGCAUAUGUUGCCUGAGGCACUUUCUUCGCUCUGUUUCGUACUGUCCUCACGUUCCAUUUUGUUUAUUCCUGGGCCUUUCCCUAUUGCUCAUAAUGGCUUCCGACUCUCCCAUCUUAUUCCCAACAGCCAUUUAUUGCAUGCUGCCAUUCAUACCUACUCACAAAUCCAUAAUAAUUCCACCAAAAUGUGUUUAUGUGUGUGUGUUUUUUAAAGACUUUUCAAAGGCCAGGCCUUGCCUUCUAAAGCAGAUGGGCAAUCAAACCUGGAUAAAGAGGCUCGUUUCCUUCAAUCAAAGGAGCAGAAAUAAUGAAUUUCACUGAAAACUGUGUUGUCCAAUGGGCAAGAAAAUUAUUAACUUUCUUUUGCAGAGGUGAGCUACAACUUGCAACUGUUUUACUCCCAGAGACUAUGCAGCCCAACAUGAUAAGAGGAAGUAUUACAAAGUAAUUAAACAUUUCAAAUGAGAAUCAGUUCAGCAAGCCACAUAUGUGGAGUGAGUCGACACACCCACACUUACAGUGAUUGUAUACUAAUAAUAGUGGCACUGGUGGUUGUGAUCACUGUUUGGAAAUAGCUGUGGAGGAUGAGUAUCCCAUUAAAUGCAGGUUCACUAAAGUCAAGCACAAGGAUUUCACGCACUGAGAGGAGUUGGGCCACUUUGGCGUGUACUGCAGAUAAUGUCUAAAGCACAAAGGCUGCCAAAAUCUUAUUUGUCCUUCAGAUGAAGUCCAUAUUGACUGUCUAAAAAAAAACCUACCCAGCAACCCACCCUCUUUGUAUGAGCCAUUAUUUUCAAAUUGUUUCCCAACUUAUACUGCAGUUGAAAAUUGGACAGCUCUUCAAUGGUGGCUGCAUUUCAAUUGAUUAUCAAUACAGUUUUUCAGAAUUAAGAAUAUUGUUCUAUUCUUUUCCUUGGCAUCAUGUUGACUUUGUGUGGUGGUCAUUUCAAUAUUGCUGUACAAUUUUGUGUUGGACUCUUUGGCAUUAAGAUAACGCACGAGUGAAUCAAUUAGAUUUAUUAUCUCCCCUCGAAGGGUACGGUAGGCGAUAAGGCAAACUCUAUACAUAAUGUAGGAUUUAUUUUCAAGGGCUUUUAUGAUUACAUAGCUGCAGUUAUCCAGGUGCAACUCGGAGUGUCACAUACAGAUGCCUGGAAGUUUCUGUUUAAAACACAACAAAACAGGACUGCAUUAUAAAGGGUUUCCAUGGUGAGUUUGCAUGGGCAAUUUAUACAGGGAAAGGACACCAAGAGGGGAGACUCUUCCAGAUGGAUGAAAAGGCCUUUGCCAUAGAUGGUCAUCUUUGUAUUGUUUUAAAAUCUAUUUUCAGGAUUUUUGUUUUGUUUUGUAAAUCGCCUUGACCCACACAGAGAAGGCAAUUUGUAAACUGAUACAUAAGUAUUACAAUAAAAAUUCAUUGUAACUCAGGAAGCUGUCUAGUACCAUCAGACUGUAAGUCCAUCUAGUUCAGUUUUGUCUACAUCGGUAGCAAUCUCACCAGAGUUUCAAGCUUUGCCUAAAAAUAUCAAGGAUUGAAACUCGAACCUUCUGCAAUCAAAGCAGGUGUUCUACCACUGAGCUACAGUCCCUCUUAGCAGUGCUCCUCCUUGUGGUAGAAGAGAAGCAAGAUAAUAGGAAAGGAACUAUUUGUUUCAAGCAGAAACAUCUCACAUACUUGUGCCUCUGAGUUGCUUCUGACAUGAUAGAAGACUUUCCAAAGAGAGAGUGUGGAUGCUUUUACACUGAAAUGUUAUAUGGAGUUUUACCACCCAUGAGCUGUGCCCAACAGAAUGCAGGGCUCCUUUUUGCCAAGUGGAAGCACACUUAUAAGAAUGAAAAGCUGUAAAUGGAUUUGCAGUCCAUAUCUAACUUGCUGGUUUCUGCUACUUGAGAUGCCAUUACUGGUUUUGGGUUGCUUCGUAAAUGGCAGUUGAUGCUUUUGCAGCACUGGAUACAAUUUUGUGCUUUCCCCUUAUUAAUUACUUAUUUAUUCAAUUUCUGUACUCCCCUUCAUUGUGAGGAUCACAGGGCCAUUUACAAUAUAAAGUGAACUAGGCUAGAAGUGCUCCUCAAUUUCAGCUUCUGCUGUAUUCUCAUAGCAAGGAGAACCUCCUCAGAGGUUUCCCAAACUUCUAACAUUCCCAGUUACAGUGUUCCAUCACUUUCCCUUCUGAGAGAAUGCCCUACUUCUGUUUUCUUCUUCCUUUUAUACUACUACUAGACAUUCUUAUUUGGAAUAAUUUCUGAAUUUGGUUCAAUGAGUGACUUUGGUUAGAACAAGCCUCAGUUCCCUGUGUUUGGGUGUAACAUGGAACUGUGGUUUGCUCAUGACAUUGUCACAGCCAUGUUUGACAGAUAUAUUUCAGACCCAACUCUCUUAUCACUAGGCUGCUCUGGCUAUGGUUUUAGAACCCAAAUUUGAAAUAGUGAGUAAAAUAUGAAACUCAUCACUGAUUACUCAUCUGUGAAUUAGAUUAUUUUGGAAGAAAUAGAUGCACAACAUAUGUAGCAGGGAAACAGCCUUCACAAGUCCCAGUUCUGGAAAUGAAGCAUCAGAUAUAAUGAAAAGCUUGGCUGGAGACAUAUUUGUCUGUUAAUUGUUGUUAUAGUUAAUAUUUUUUAGAAACAGAAAUGCUUUUAAAGAUAAAUACCUCUAAUGCAUCUAUUGAUUUCCUUUAUUUAAACUAUUAAUAAACUGACUCAAACAGUCUCUUUUUUAAAAAAAGAGAAGGGAAUAAAAUAGGAUGCAGGUACCCACAAAAUGUUUUCUGUGUAUUUCCAAGCGGUUUAUGUAUUAAAACUGGAAUUAAAACUGAUUGGCUGAUAAUGAGUGCAGAUGCUGACCUUUGGAGAGAUUUAUUAGUCCUGCAAACGAUGAACUGGGCUCCCUGCACCUUGUGACCUUGACAGAGAGAUACAGAAAUAACCUUUGGUAUAUUUAACCCUUUCUGGGUGCUAAAAAUAGAUUCUGGGGGGAAAACACGAGCAAGUUUUUAAAUAAUAGAAUUAUCAAUGAGUUAAAUGUUACUGCUAGAUCAAAAAGUAAGAUUUUGGUGGGGAAAGAGAGUGCUAUGAUCAGCUGAUUCUUCAGCACUAUUUUGGAACCUUGCAGAUUCCUUUUUUCUGCAUGAUAUACAAGAGAGAGAGAGAAAAACUUGUGUGCGUGAUACAUUUUUGUAAACUCUAAACUAUUCAGGCAGACCUAUUAAUUUUUCUGGAAGAAACAUAGCCACCUUUUUGUGAUUGUACUAAAUUAAGAUUUCUCUCCCACCAUACACCAAGAGUUUUUAAUAUAUGAAUUAGCUCAUUAAAAAAAACAGUUAAUGCCCCACCACAAGAAUAUUCUAUGUCCCUGUUGUAAUAUUUUGUCAUGAUCACUUCUGAAUCUAGUGGUACCUUGGUUGUCGAAUCGGUUCCCAAACACCACACACCCAGAAGUAAGUGUUCCUGUUUGUGAAGCCGAACAUUUUUUGGAAGCCGAACAUUCUGACGUGGCUUCUGCAGCUUCCAAUUGAGUACAGGAAGCUGCUGCAGCAAAUUGGAAGCCAUGCCUUGGUUUUCUAAUGGUUCCAGGAGUCAAAUGGACUCCCAGAAUGGAUUAAGCUCAACAACCAAGGUACCACUGUAUUUGCAACAUGAGACACUAUCCUUUCCCUUGGGAAUUCAAUUUUCAUGGAGGCCCCAGGUCACAUUUCUUAAAAUAAAAUUCCAGGGUGUCAUCAGUGCCUAGAAAUUCAGUAGGGAACCCUGAAUCAGUGAUAUCAAUAUAUAUAUAUAAAGAGAGAAUUGCAAAGCAUUGGCCAGGGUGGGGGAAGUUAUUGACUGCCUCCGCUCUGGCAGGGUUGUACUUCCUGAGGGUUUCGUUGCAAACACAACUGCUGGCUGCAAACACCAACUCAUCCUCCUCCCUGAGCUUGGCGGUGGCGGCGCUGGAGGGAGGAAACAGGACAUUCUGGGAUCAUAUCAGAAGCCAGGCUGUAAUUCCAGUAAAACUGGGACACUUGAAGGGUAUGCCCUCUUCCUAGAGGCCCGAUCUACACACCCAGACAGAUGAAGAGAACUAGGUGAGUAGAAGAUGCAACUCCUCCUUGCUCCUUCCACUGCUCACUUGCUCAGCAUCAGCAAGGAGGAGCAGCAACAGGGCUAGAAGGCGCCAGCUAAUAGAAGUGGAGGGCCCUAGUGGGGCAUGGCCUUGUCUAUUGCCUGAUGAUGCUCACUACUGGUGCCAGUCCUCAGAAAUUGCCUGCAGUGAGCUAUUUUUAAGAUCUGCAAUCAGUGUAUUUGACUCAGUGGCACUUACUUCGAAAUGAACGUGCAAGUCUCUCAUGUAAACAUGCCCUGCCAAAGUAAACAUAACCUAUGCCAAAAUCUUCUGGAAUUGAACAUUUGCAUUUAGUGUUGGUUUAGCACCCAUCCCAUAGCCUAAAGUCUCUCUACCCAAGCUGACCAGGGUGGUCUCCACAUUGGCAUUAGAAUUCCCAAGGCUUAUUGUCUUGGAUGACUUCAAUGAUCAUAUCAUGUUCAUACCUGGCUGGAACAGUUCAGGUUUUCAUAGCCAUGGGCCUGUCCCAAAUGAUUUUUAAUUUUUUUAACCCUUUACAAAUGCUUUCAAAUAAAUGAAUGAAUGAAAUAGGACCUGUUCCCAUAUACUGGGCCUUGUUUGUUUUUCUGGAUAGGGAAAAGAUGUUCUGAGAGUGUUGGAAGUUGAUAUGUUUCCCCUUGUCCUGGACAGAUCAUUGCCUGGUCAGGUUUAGAUUCUGGACAGCUGUAUAAGUGCACAACCCCAGUAUUUGAACUGUUGGGCUGGAUAUCAUGUGAAUGUUCCUUUAUUUCCAAAUGAAGCAUACAAGUUCGGUCCAUCCGGCUAAAUCUAUUCUGAGAAUGCAACAACUGGUUACACGGGCAUCUCAUAGAUAAGAGCAGGGUUGUUUUUGUUCUGCUUUGGGAAGCUCUGUGAUCAAGACGGCAAUCUGUUUUGUCUGUUGCCUCUGACAGUAUCAGAGGGGACCUGGCUCGGCUAGAUUGAUUGGUACCUCCAGCUUAGCCGUUUCCGUGCAGAAUGGCUAGGUUUUUUGCCUAAUGAUGUUACAUUUGUCCUGCAGAUGAUGUAGAGCAUGCUACAGAGAAUGAACAGCUCGGCUCUGAUCGCUCCUUAUUUGGCAAGCACUCACAUUUCACACCAACCCUCCCCAGCCCCAUUAAUAUUAUAUAUAGAUACCCUUGUCACAGAUUUACAUUCGGUGAUCCGAAAUCAGGACGGAAAGGGUGAAAUGUAUGAGGGGGGUAGGGGUGAGGAGGUGAGCUGAUUUAUUAUAGGGAAUGUUGAAGAAUAAAAAGAAAGUGAUCAAAUUUAUAUUAAUGCUCUGACCUACAUUCUCAAGCACUGUUUCUCUCUCUUUUUUUCCAAACACAAACACACACACAACGCAGAACUAAAGCUUCCAUAGCUAUGCUUCCAUAUGAUAGAUUUCUUUAGAGCAAGGGUAGACAAUGUGGGGGUCCCCAGAUAUCCGGUAAUACUGCUCCCAUCAUUCCUGACCAUUGACUAUGGUGGCUGGGGCUGAUGUGAGUUGUAGUCCACAACACAACAAAGGCAACACAACACAACAAAGGCUAAUCUCUGUUUUAAGAAUAAAAUCUGCUGCUUUAGCUGUGCCAUUUGUUCUUUCCAGUGUUAGCUUCUCCACAACUUAAUGAAUGCUUUCUUAUUUUCAUCUCUUUCUCUUAUUAAGGUUUGGAAAUGGGGUCAGAUCAAGAUAAAGCUGGCUGAAAGUUCUCUCUGGCAACACAAGAACGGGCCCUUUCUGUGGUGGCUCCCUGUUUGUGGAAUGCUCUCCCCAAGGAGCGUCACCUGGUGCCUUCAUUACAUAUCUUUAGGCACCAGGCCAAAAAUAUUCCUUUUCUCCCAGGCCUUUGGCAAAUUAAACAAUCUAUGACCUUUUAAUUGUGCUUGUGGGAAGUGGGUUAUUGGUUUGUUGUUGUUUUCUGUUGUGUCUUUUGUGUUCUCAUUUUGUAUUUUUAUUUUCUAAACUGCCUUGUGAUCUUUCAGUGGUGGUAUACAAAUUUAGUAAAUAGUAGUAGUAGUAGUAGUAGUAGUAGUAAUAAUAAUAAUAAUAAUAAUAAUAAUAAUAAUAAUAAUAAUACAGUGGUUGUGAGGAGAACCUGAGCUUACAGGGUUAAACAGCUCAGUGUGUACGCUCUGCCUACUGCUGGGAGGGAACUUCUACGUCAGUUCCGAGAGACUCAAGUCUUUGUUCUUUCUCUCUACUUUCGCUUUUGAGGAGAGAGGACGUGUUUUCGCGAUGCUGUUCGCUGUGAUAGAUAAUGGAUAGCCUGCUGUAAAUAAAACUGCUUUUAGCUGCUAAGAUCCUGUGUGGACUUUAUUUAAGCACACCGAAGAAUGCACUGGAGUGUUUUGCAGCUUCCUCUUGCCGCUGUUGAACUCUGCUAUGCUCAGAAGUAUCGGAAUGUGCCCUUUGGAAUGCAGAGGCCUGCGAUGGGCGUGCCGGACCUCACGCUUAUCUGAGCAAUAAAUCUAACAGGUUAUGGGGGCAGUUAAUGCAAUUAGAGGAAGCCUGCCUUUGAUGUGCUGUGUGCUUAAGAAGGCUGAGAAACUGAGAAGCUGUUGUUUUUGCUACCGGAAGGCAAAAGUCCUGCUUUGAGGCUUCGCCUGGGAGAAAGCAGGGAAGCUGGCUGCAAGCUGUGUGCUGCAAAGCUGGAUGCAAGCUGUGUGCUGCAAAGAGCCACUGGAGGCCUCUCCUUUGAAGCUGGCUGGUACGCGUGAGUACUUCAAAGCCCCAAUGGGAGUACUGGGGGAGGAGAUGGCUGAGCUCCAGGACUUUUAUGAUGUCCCGUUUGAAAAGCUCACAACCCAGUCCUGGGAUAUCUGGGUUAGAAGAGUCAGGGGGUGGUUUUUGGCCACAGGGUUCUGGAGUAUAACCCAGAAGGAGCCCGCCCCACCCAUGCCAGUUGCUGCUGAAGAGGGAGGAGCAGAACUGGAGGCUGCACUCCUGGAAGAUAGAGAGCUGAGAAUGCAAAGGGAGCUCUGCAUGUUGAGAGCAAGCGUGGACGCUAUGCUGUUGCCCCACCUGGAGGGCAUUGAGUCGGCUCAGGCCGCCUGGCAGGUGCUGAGGAGUCUGUGUGAGAACUCAGCAGGAGCCCAGGGCCGGGAGGAAGCCGAGAGCAGGGAGGAAGCCGAGAGCCCAGAGGGGGCUGCUGGCCAUGUUCCUGAAGUUACAGCUGGGAGUAGCUGCUUUGACUCCGAGGGGCCGUGUGAAGUUGAGGCCUACAACCAGAGUGCUGGGGAGCGUGCAGGCCCAGGCUGUGCACCUAAAGGUGGGGGUGCUGGGAACAAAGGAAUGGCUGAAGAGGGAGCUGUGAGAGCUGUUGCUACGCGUCGCCGCUGUUAUCGCUGUGGCUCCCCCUCCCAUCUGGUGAGAGAAUGUCCAGUGGAGGAACAGCCGAAGGCCGUCUCCCGUAGCAACCAGAUAAAGAGCUCUUCUUCAAAGCGUGGGAAAGGCAAGCCGAAGGCAGCUGGCAGAGACACUGAACGUAAACAUUUGGCUGCCUCUAUGGCUGUAGUCAAAAGUUGUCAACAGGAUGCAGAGCUGGCUUUUGUGAUAGACUCAGGAUCGUCUCAUCACCUAGUGCCAUCUGGUGGAUUCCUGGAGAACUGCACCUCUGUAAAAUCUGGGAAGACUGUCUGUUUAGCAGAUGGGACUCGACACCCACUCACGCAGACUGGCUCACUGUUUUGUUCUUUCUUGCAGGACUCAAUCCAGGCUUUUGUUGUUCCAGGACUGUCCUGCGCGUUGCUGUCUGUCAGUGCACUUCUUGCUGAGAACUACAGAGUGUGUUUUGAGAACAAUAAGUGUUCUAUUUCUAAGAAUGGACAGCACCUAGUCAGUGUUGAAUGUAAAGGCAGGUUGUUUGUGAUAAAUGCUUCUUUUGCAGGUCCAGAUGACACGGAUGACACGGAGGAGGCUCAAGCGCAGUGUGCCAGUGUUCCAGUUCAUGAUGCGUGUGCCCAUCUCUGGCACCGACGCAUGUCACACGUGUCGUGGGGGUCAGUGAUGAAGAUCCCAGAGUAUACGCAAGGGUGCAAAAUGAAAUCAUGUGCUAAGUUUCUAGAUUGCAGAGCGUGCAAGUCCGCAAAGGUGAAAACGUGCUCAUACCCAAGGUCUGAGAGGGUGACCACCAGGGCUUUUCAAUUAAUUCAUGCAGAUUUGUGUGGACCGUUUUCUGUGAGCAGUUUGGGCGGAGCCAAAUUUUCGCUGGUUCUGAUUGAUGACCAUACGAGGAAUUCUUGGUGUUUUUUGCUUCAACGCAAAGAUGAAGCUGCGCCGCUAAUCAAAGACUGGAUUGCGGCUGUGGAACUGCAGUUUUCCACACGGGUGCAAAACUUUCAGAGCGAUCGCGGUGGGGAGUUCACCGGGUCUGCACUGCAAAGUUUCUUCCGCAAAAGGGGGAUUCAACACAGGUUGACUUCUCCACACAGUCCCCAACAGAAUGGGAUCGCGGAACGCAGGAAUAGGACUCUAGGGGAGAUGUCCGCAGCUCUUUUGUUUGAUGCCGGGCUCCCACAGCGUUUUUGGGGGGAGGCUUGGCGAACGGCCAACUUCGUUCUGAACAGGUCGUUCAAUUCAGUAGUAGGUGACACACCGUAUUUCUUGCUCCAUGGCAAGAAACCGAAAGUGCACUACUUCCGCGUUUUUGGCUGUGAGGCUUGGGUCCUCAUACCAAAGGCCAAACGCAAGAAAGGUGAACCCAGGUCCCAGAAGAUGAUUUUUGUGGGUAUGAGCCAGGGACCAAGGGGUGGAGGUUUGCUUAUCCGUCAGGGAAUCAGUCCAGGAUUCUGCUCAGCAACAGUGCUGAAUUCUGUGAGCAGAGUGGCUGGGCAAGGAUACAUGGGAACCCUGACAUCCUGUCAGAGAGUCUGCUAGACUCUGCUGAUGAAGGAGAGGAAGAGGUUGAACCUGCUACUGAGGCUCAGAGUCCAGGCCCAGUGCAGGCAGAGGGGAGAACUUCUCCCAAGGCUGUGAAGAGUGAGCAACGCAGUGCUCCAUCUUCCCCCACAGGUUCGGCUGAGAAGUCCAGAAGGCGCAGUAAGUCAGAGGGGCAGCUCUCUGAUGCCAAGGACGUUCUGGCUGGCCCUAGUGGGUCAGAGGGGGUUCCUGAAGUAGUGCUGCGCCGUUCCACGCGGACGACCAAGGGGAAACCUCCUGAAAGGUUUGCCGUCACUAGCGUGUGGGUCGGAAUGGCACAGUGUGAACCCGAAAGUUUUGAGGAUGUUCAGAAACUGCCUCAGGAAGAAGCCAGGAAAUGGCAUGAGGCGAUGCAGAAGGAGAUGAACUCAAUGGAGUCUCUAGGUGUGUUCUCCCUCACGAAGUUGCCGGUGGGUGAAAAGGCAGUGGGUAGCCGCUGGGUUUACCGUCUUAAGCCCACAGCGGCAGGAGAACCGCAGUAUAAGGCCAGAUUAGUGGCGAGAGGAUUCACGCAGCAGAGGGGUUGCAUUAUACGGAGAUUUAUGCGCCCACGUGUAGGAGUGAAUCUCUACGCUUGGUCUUGGCCAUCGCUGCACAAAGAGGUUUGCUGGUGCAUCACUUUGAUGUGGAUGUUGCUUACUUGAACUCAGACCUCCAGGAGGAUCUGUACAUGCUUCCUCCUCCAGGGUUUGAGGGCAAUGAGCGAGGUACUGUGUGGAAACUUCACAAGUCAAUUUACGGCCUGAAGCAGUCGGCCAGGAAUUGGAACUUGUGCCUGAAUGAAGCUUUGGAGAAGCUAGGUUUCAGGAAGAGUCUUGCUGACAGUUGCCUGUUCCUUAGAGGAUCAGGAGACUCACAAGAACUGGUGUUGUUUUACGUUGAUGACAUCAUCCAUGUUGGAAAGGCAGACAAACAGGUGCAGAAGUUUGCCAAAGAGCUUGGGAAACGGUUUCAGCUCAAGAACCUGGGUGCAGUAAAGAUCUACCUAGGCGUCCAGAUAGCGAGAACUGAGGAUGGUAGCUUCUUGCUCAGUCAGAAAGGCAAGAUUGAGCAGUUGCUGGAGAAGUUCAGAAUGUCCGAUUGUACAGGAGUUUGGACACCCAUGGAGACGAACUUCGUGAAAGAUAGCCAGCAAGCAGAAAGUGCUGAGUUUGAGAAUGCUGAGAUCUUUCAGUCAGCUCUAGGUAGUCUGUUGUAUCUGUCCCAAUGGAGCAGACCAGACAUUGCCUUUGCUACCAACCUGCUAAGUAGGGAAGCGUCAAAGCCCAGUGUGAGUGCUUGGCACGGUAUCAAGCGGGUACUGCGCUACCUGCAGCAUACCAAAGACUUCUGUCUUAAGCUGCCAGCUGAAGGUGAGGCGAAGCUCACAUGCUAUGCGGACAGUGACUGGGCGAAUUCGCAGGACCGCAAGUCUGUGUCUGGGUUGGUGAUAAAGUUUGGGAAGUCACUAGUUGGGUGGAAGUCCCGGAAGCAAAGUCUCAUUGCGCUGUCUUCUACUGAGGCUGAAUUCAGUGCAUUGUCAGAUUUGUGCCGAGAACUAGAGUUCUAUAGAUGCUUGGUGCAAGAGAUCUAUGGGGAUUGUCGCUUGCCCAUCACGGUUUGGGAAGACAAUCAGCCUUGUUUGAAGUUGGCUGAAUCUGCGCAAUUUAAGGCGAGAACCAAGCAUCUGGACAUACGUUUCCAAAAUGUGUGCCAGAGUGUUCAGUCAGGUUUGAUACGACUGAAGUACUGUGCCAGUCACAGUAACCUGGCCGAUGGAUUUACCAAACCUUUAAGCUUCCAGCGUCAUGGGGAGUUUUGUGGUGGUUUGGAGUUGGGGGUAAGUUCUGUACUUACUGUCCCCACAGUAGCGCAGAGCGAGAGGGGGUGUGAGGAGAACCUGAGCUUACAGGGUUAAACAGCUCAGUGUGUACGCUCUGCCUACUGCUGGGAGGGAACUUCUACGUCAGUUCCGAGAGACUCAAGUCUUUGUUCUUUCUCUCUGCUUUCGCUUUUGAGGAGAGAGGACGUGUUUUCGCGAUGCUGUUCGCUGUGAUAGAUAAUGGAUAGCCUGCUGUAAAUAAAACUGCUUUUAGCUGCUAAGAUCCUGUGUGGACUUUAUUUAAGCACACUGAAGAAUGCACUGGAGUGUUUUGCAGCUUCCUCUUGCCGCUGUUGAACUCUGCUAUGCUCAGAAGUAUCGGAAUGUGCCCUUUGGAAUGCAGAGGCCUGCGAUGGGGGAAGCGUGCCGGACCUCACACUUAUCUGAGCAAUAACCUCGGGUUAAGUACUUAAUUUGUUCUGGAGGUCCGUUCUUAACCUGAAACUGUUCUUAACCUGAAGACCACUUUAGCUAAUGGGGCCUCCCGCUGCCGCCGCACCGCCGGAGCACAAUUUCUGUUCUCAUCCUGAAGCAAAGUUCUUAACCUGAGGUACUAUUUCUGGGUGAGCGGAGUCUGUAACCUGAAGCGUAUGUAACCCGAGGUACCACUGUAAUAAUAAAAACAAUGGAAUAUAAGUCCCCCAAUACUACAGAAGUCAUUAAUAAAUUGUCCCAUUGAAAUCAAUGCAACCUAGACUCAAUAGCUUAGUCUGGAUCCAACCCAAGUUUGGCACAAAACACAUUCAUAUUUUCAAAUGGUCCUUGAGAAUAUUGCAUCAAGUUCAAUCAUUGCUGGCAGGGUGGUAGCGUACUUGGUAAAGAGGCAUCUCUGCAGCCAAUUCACACAUUACAAUUUUACUGCUAAGAUAUUUUGAGUGUACACUUUAAGAGGCAUAGUGUGAUGGCACUAGCAUGCACACUGAUACUUGGUGGCAAAUCCAGUUUUGCUAUUGUGCAAAGUAUUAAUGACUCUUGGCCUUCUUUAUAUAGGCUAUUACUCAGCAUCUUUCCUUCCUUUUUCACCAGAGUUUGUUAUAAGCUCUCCAAGGUUAUGGGCUGUACAAAGCUGUCAUAUCAAUCUUAGAAGUGAACUGAAUCAAAGUUUGAAAGUUUACCUGCAUUCAUCCGUGGUGAACAUAUGACGUAAGAAGCUGCCAGAAUACUGACUGACUCAGGCCACUGAUUCUGCUCCUGUCCCACACCACCACCAAUUUCUGGACACUCAGAACUUAAUAACUUGAGAGAAAGGCACUAUUCACGUGCAAAUUAGGACUCAUAAACUGAAAAUUAAAAUAAAGAUGCAAUAUUAAAGGUGCCUGUGGAAUGGCUAACUCUAUCAAAAUGAGUAGGACUUCGGAGGACACAUGUUUAGGAUCUUAAGUAUUAAUCUUCUAGUUUAAUGUCGAUAUUUAGUGGCCUGACUGCAGGCAGUGCUGGAUAAUAUGGAUUAUUUGGUUGCAUUUCAAUAAAGUUUUAGACCUAGUUAUGGAACAGAAACAGCCUUGAUUGCUCUGUUGGUUGCAUCAGGGAAUACAGUAAGUAGAAGGACUACAACCCAGUGAGUUCUCCUAGACCUCUUAGCAGCAUUUUCGGCCACCAAUCAUGGCAUUUUCUUGGGCCAGUUAUCUGGACUGGGCUUAGGAGUCAUGGUGAUAUACAGUGUUUCUGGUCCUUCCUGAUACGUCAUCACGAGAGAGCAGCCUUUCUCCCCCCAAUGACCAUUGGUCUGUGGGGUGUUCAAAUUCAAAUUCUGAAACUCAUGCUAUUUAAUAUCUACGUGGAGCUACUGGGAGGCAUAAUCUGAAAGCUUGGGCUGAAGUGCCAUUGGUAUGCAGACAUUACUCAAUUCUACCUCUGCUUCCCACCAACCCAUCUCAGAGAGGCUCCUAAACCAGUGUUUGGAGGCCAUUUUCAGAUGUAUGGGAAGGUGCAAUACAAAGCUUAAUACAGAGGUGGGGAUGUUGGACAUGUUGCAAGUGGGGAAACUGGUAAACCCCAGAGAAAGGACUGGUAGCUUGUCCUUCAUGAGGUUGCACUUACUCCGAAGGAACAAGUUUGCAGGUUGUAGGUACUGCUGGACUCAUCGCUCACUGGGGAAGCUCAGAUCAUGAUGAUGGCUAGGAGUGCCUUGUAGGAGCUUAGACUAGUGCACCAACUGCAACCCUAUCUAGAGAAGUCAGAUCACAACUCAGUUGACUGUGCACUGUCACAUCCAGUGCAUGCCUUUGGGAAUGGCUCUGGUACAAAAUGCAGCCACCCUGUUACAGUAGACUCUUGGGUUACGUUGUUCUUGAGUAACGUAAACUUCGGGUUGCAAAAGUGGCAAACUCGGAAGUAUUUUUACAGGUUUCACCACUCGCGCAUGCACAGAAGCUCUCUAUCACGCCACACGUGUGUGCAGAAGCGGCACCUCUGGAUACGGAUUCUUAGGGGUGCACACAGACCCCCGGAACAAAUUAAAUUUGUAUCCAGAGGGUCCACUGUAUUACUGGUAGGGACAAGGCAGCCAUAACAUGUAACACCCAUUAUGUAUCAGUUGUACUGGUUGAAAGUGUGUUUCUGGGCCCAGAUCAAAAUGCAGGUUAUUGCCUUUAAAGCCCUGAAGGGCUUGGGACCAGGUUACCUAAAGGACCACUUGCACCCAUAUAAUUGUACCCAUAUCUUGACAUCUAGCUCAGAGAACCAGCUGUAACUCAUGCCUGUAAAAGUGAUUAGCCUGGUCAACAUGCAAAACAGGGCCUUCUGGCAGUGGUACCCCUAUUAUAGUAUGCAAUUUCUAUGGAUAUUAUGCAGGUCCCAUCUCUCAUGUUUUUUAGAAAAAACUUUAAAGGCCUAUUCUCAAAUUAUGUUCAUCUCCUCCAGUGUUUUUUAGGGGAAUUCAUGCUCUAACGUACCUGUUUACAUAUGGAACAUGAUAUUUUAGGAUCCUUCAAACCAAGUCAGUGGAUACAAAGCAAAGUUGAGAGUAAUGAAGCCCAAAUAUGACAGUGUGUGAACCAAGGUGAAUUAAUUCAUGUCUAGCUGUAUAUUGAUGAUAAUCAAGAGGUAUAUCAAGCAUGAAUUAAUAUUACCAUCAAUGCAACAAGCCAUGAAUGAUCCCUUAAUGUCUUCCCGCAAUUACAAAAUUUUCUUACAAAAUGCAUUUAAAUAUUAUAUACAUUAAUUUAGUUUCAAGGCCCAAAAUUAUGUCGCACAAUAUUAAUCUCAAUCCUCUGUAUUCUCUUAUAAGCCAGUUGUAUCACUUGAUUUCUUAAACCUACUUUAUAAUUACCUUUAAUUACCAGUUUAUAAUAAGUUUAUUCUGUUAAUUCAAGGUUGUUCAUGCCCUGAAGCAUAAACCAAUAACAGUAUCAUUUGAACCUGUGACUAAUUAGAAAUGUGUAGUGCCAUUAGGUAACUUGCUAAUGGAAAUAAUUUCAUCCUUUAAGUAACCCGCCUACCACUUGCUAUUCCUAUGGAUGAAGUUCUGAAUGUAAGUUCAGGACAAACACUACCUCUCUGGUAAAUAUGUGUGUAUAAAUGAUCACAACAUCAAAAAGCCGAGGGGAAAACCCAUGGGCAUGAAGUAAGCUUGCAUUGCUUGUUUAAGGAGAAAACUACGAGGGCAAAUGAGUAUAGUUUCUCCAAUAAAGCUUUCCUUCAGUGAGUCAUGCUAUAGGAGCGUAUUAGUCGGUGAUCUUGGGAAGAUAGGUGAACUAAUACCAGUGUACUGGAAGAAGCAAAGAUCACCAGUGUUGAAGCAAUGAUUCUUCAACAUCAACUUCGUUGGACUGGACAUGUUGUGUGGAUGCCUGAUGAUCAUCUUCCAAAGCAACUACUCUAUUCUGAACUUAAAAAUGGAAAGCGUAAUGCUGGUGGUCAACAAAAGAGGUUUAAAGACUGUCUCAAGGCAAUUUUUUUGUAUAAACAGCAACAAUUGGAAACACUCGCCUGCCAGUGCUCCAACUGGAGAACAGCCUUUACCAAAGGUGUCAUGGGCUUUGAAGACACUUGAACUCAGGACACAAGGGAGAAACAUGCUAAAAGGAAGGCACGCUUGGCAAAUCCACAUCAUGAUCAACUCCUACCCGGAAACCAAUGUCCCCACUGUGGAAGGACGUGUGGAUCCAGAAUUGCCUCCACAGUCACUUAUGGAUUUAUUGUUAAAACAGUGUUUAUGGAAGACAAUCUUACUCGGCUAUGAGUGAUCGCCAAAGAGAAAGAGAGCUAUAGGAUUCUGGAGAGUCCAAAGGAAAAAGCAGAGGAACAGCUAGAAGUAUUACCUGACUGAAAAAAAAUGUUCAGCUAGCUCAGGAAUUGCUUAUUGGAGUUACUGAAGCCCAGGGCUAAUGCACCUUCUUUGCAUACAGAAUAUUCUGUGUUCAAUCUCCAGCUUCUCCAGUUAAAAGACGUAAUUACCUGAUUAUGGGGAAGGCCUCGACCUGAAAGCCUGGAGAGUUGCUACCCAUCAGAAUAGUACAGGAACAGGGAACCUUUUUCAGACCGAGGGCCGCAUUCUCCCCUGCGCAAUCUUCUGAGGGCCACAUGCCAGUGGUGAAUGGUGAACAGGGCCAAAGGCAAAAGCAGGCAGAGCAAUGAAUGAAAUUGUUACCUUUCUGCUGUAGGCUAGUUUCUAUCUACCCACACUUUUGUGUCCCUCAUCCAGACAAGCAAGAGGCAUUGCUAGACUUCACGGAUGCAUUGCAGGCAGACAAAAUGUUGAUAAUAAUAAUAAUAAUCAAAAGAUCAGUUCAGUUCAUCACCUUUGAGCAGACUUUUGCUUUGGCAGGAGGUAUAAAAAUUAUUGUAAAUAAGUGUUCAGAUGCCCUGCACGCCCUGGUAUGAACCAAAUCACUAUAUUUGUGACCGUCACCCCAGUAUGAUUGUUACAAUUAUUUAAUAAGUCCAGGCACCCCGUCAUAGGGAAGCUAAGAGGAUGCUGACAAGGGAGAGGGCCUGUUCAGUUGUUGCUCCCCAUCUGUGGAAUGCUCUCCCCAACAGGGCCUCCCUGGUGCCUUCACUAACAUCUUUUUGGCUCCAGGAAAAGACUUAUCUUCUUUUCCUCAGGCCCUUGCUUUGUUAUUAGUGAACUGCCAAACUGGCCAUUACGCGGGUAGUUCCAUUUUCAUAUUCAUUUUUGUGGCAUGAUGUGUUAAUAUAAAUGUAUUAAAUAUGUUGUAAGUCACUUGGAGCCCUUCAGGUAACAAGUGACUAACAAGUAUAUUAAAUUACAGUGGUACCUCGGGUUACCUCCUGCCAACCUAGCAGUUUGAAAGCACAAAGUGCAAGUAGAUAAAUAGGUACUGCUCCAGUGGGAAGGUAAACGGCGUUUCCAUGUGCUGCUCUGGUUUGCCAGAAGCGGCUUAGUCAUGCUGGCCACAUGACCCGGAAGCUGUCUGUGGACAAACACUGGCUCCCUCAGCCAAUAAAGCAAGAUGAGCGCCUCAACCCCAGAGUCGGUCAUGACUGGACCUAAUGGUCAGGGGUCCCCUUUACCUUUACCUUGGGUUACAUACGCUUCAGGUUACAGACUCCGCUAACCCAGAAAUAAAGCUUCAGGUUAAGAACUUUGCUUCAGGAUAAGAACAGAAAUUGGGCUCCAGCGGCACGGCGGCAGGAGGAGGCCCUGUUAGCUAAAGUGGUGCUUCAGGUUAAGAACAGUUUCAGGUUAAGUACGGACCUCCGGAACGAAUUAAGUACUUAACCCGAGGUACCACUGUAUAUAAAUUCUAUGUCGUCAUCCCCAAUCCAAAUGUAAACGACAUCAGCAACAACCAAAAACCUGCUGUAGACAAAGUCCACAUUGGAAGAAAAAAGGAAAGAUUGGGAGAGGCAAAGAUGGGCACACAGGGUGGAGAUAGGGAAGGGCGAGAAGGAAAGAAAGAAAGAAAGAAAGAGAAAAGAGAUUUUGCAAAAUGUGUUUAGACGAAAAGAACUGAGUCCCCACAUGAAAAUUGCACACAUAGGAUACGCAGGCAUGCUCUUUCCAGCAGUUAGCAAUAUGAAGUGUUUCUGUAGAAGCAAACAGGGAGGGGGUUGUGUGUCAGGAACUGAAGUGGACAAUUAUGGGAUAAAUGACGCCUGGCUGUGAAACGAACUUUGAGUGGAAAAUAAAAUUAGACUUUAUUUGCUAAAUAUUUCUUGCAAAAAAUUAAUUUUUUUCGGGAUUGUUCUGCUCCAGCCUUUGGCGUUUGAUUUAAAAUUCUGGUCUCACACAGCUGGUGACAAAGUGAGCCUUUGAUUAAUCAGAGAAUUGGUCUAAUCAUCUAUUGCUGGGAAUAAUAAAUGAGAGCAGAUGAAGUCCAUACAAGAUGCUUCUUGAACUAAGCAUUUUCUGGGCAUAAGCAGCACUUAAGAGAAUCCAGGGGACAGCCUACCUUACCUGUGGGGGGGGCAGUUAAUGACCUCUGAGUGUUGGUAGACUGCUUGGUUUACAUUGCUCUCUCCCUAACUUGCUGGCAUGGCAUUUUUCUACCAUCUGACUUACACCUAAUCGUUUAUAUUACUUUUGAGAGGAGUAAAUAGUGGCAGGGCAACCAUCAUUUCGUCAUUUUGGCAGACCAGGAGGAGGUGCUUGUCCUCCUCCAAAUCACUUCAAAUUUACAUCUUAGCCAACUUCAAAGUCUCUUUCCCGUGCACUGAGAUGCUUCCAUGCUACAGAGGAGGAGAGCAGGCAGGUAAAGCCCACAGGACUAUUGUGAAGAUCAUCUGCUCUUCUAAAUAUUUCCAUGUCCCCACUAGAACAGGGGUGGGAAUUUUUUUUUUUUUUAGCCCUAGGGGCACAUUCUCUUCCAGGCAACCUUCCAGAAGCAGACUUUGCGUUUUCAAAUUUCUUUUCUUUUCUUUGAAUAAUUUUGUAUUAGUUUUCAAUUACAGUCCAAUAAUAGUCUCAUUAUAACGAUACAAAUUUAUAAUACAAUUAUUAAUACCAUUCAUUCAAGUAUUGAAUUAUACAAUUUAGUUAAAGUGGCCACCUGCAUGCUAGAUUUGAUGAUUUGAUGGUUUAUUUUAUUUCUGUGUUCCAAAAUCAAUUACAUUCCAGUCAUAAUAAUUAUCCCUUAUACAACAAAUGCAAUAUUAACAACUUCUAUUCGUGUUGACACAUUAAAUGAGUUAUAAAAUUUCAAGUGAGGAACUCAAACUAUAUCUUUGUUCUUCCUGUGUGUGGCAAUUAUUAUGCCCAUGGUGUUUCUUCCUGUCCUUCUAAGAUGUUAUGUCUUUCUUUCCCCCGAUUUGCUGUUAUCCAUCAUGCCUUGGGCGAAGCUGAUAUCCCAUUGUUGUUCCAGAAAUUUCUCCAUAUCUCCAUCCAGUGCUUCGUUGUUUUGCACUGAGAACUUUAAUGACAGCUGCAAAAGUCACUCUGUCCCAGUAAAUAAACUGUUGUCACCAUUUUUUCUCUCAGCCUGGGAAGAAGAGCAGUCUGUUGAACUGCAGAUGACUCAGUAAAUAAUCUUAUCAGUUCCUUGGCAGCUCACAGACUCCUUUCAUCCUUCCUUCCAGCUGAUUAUCCUUCCAAUUAAAUUAAAUUCCAAGUUCUCUUAGCGUUAUUCAGUUCACUUUGUAACAUAAUAAAGGAUGAGGAAGAGUCAGCUCUAAGUAAACCUUUUGCAAAAUAGAGCUUUGCUCCCUUUUCCCUAUUUUUUUUACAUACACAGUUCCAUUUGAUGUUAUACUCCAUAUUUAUAAUCCAAUUUCGUCCACCCUCACUUGUACAAAUAUAAUUUGAACUAACAUUCAGAGGAGGGUUGCUGAAUCAUAAAUGUAAAGAAGAAAAGUUUAAAUAAAGAUACCAUAGACUCCCCUCCCUCCCCACGUCUUUUGCACUGAAUGAAGUCUUAUCUCAAAUUCAAACCUUAAAGUCAUGCAGCUGGUUUGCUCCACAGUUUGUGAUCUCAUCUCUUCUCGCACAUGCGUGUCCUUUAGUCCAAUUAAGCUCUAAUUAGCAGGAGAACCUCUGCUUCUUAAUGACGGCGUUGGAGGGUUUUCACCAGGUGAAGUGCUUUUGCACCCAGCACCUCCCUGCCCCACACAUUGCAUGCUGGAGUGAGAGCCAGGUACCAAGACACACUGCUUUCUCCCUGUCCCGGGGGGGGGGGGGAGAUUUGCAAGGAUUAUUUACCCUCAGUCAUCCUAGUUUUUCCUUCACCUAUGAUCUCCCACCUGGGCUGCCUCCAUUAAGGCAGAGCGGAACCAGAAGCCUUGUGUUUUUACAUUUCAUCUGUGUCUCCUGCGAUGCCAAAAUUCGGUGCUCCCCAGCUUUCACUUCUUGUUCUAAGUCAUUCUUGUUGCGACUGCUGUGAUUCCCUCUUGGCUUGGCACUCAGUGUGGGCAAACCAGUUGUGCUUCCCUAACUCUGCCUGUGCCACAAGAGCAUCUGCUUGGCUUGCAAAAGAUCCCAGAUUGAAUCCUCAGGUAGGGCUGGGAAAGAUCCCUGUCAAAAAUCCUGGAGAACUGCUGCCAAUCGGUGCAGGCAGUACUGAGCUAGAUGGACCAAUAGUUUGACUCCUUAUAAAGCAGCUUCCUAGGCUACACUGAACUAAAUAGUAAUCCUCACCCAAUGCCACCAACAGCAACGUUCUCAUUGGCUUCUUGAAACCAGUAAGCUAGAAUUUCAUCAUGAACAUCUAAAUUGCCUUUGACGAUUCUAUACUGAGAGAUAGGGUGAUGGAUUCUUUGUAACUCCCUAAAAUGAGCAUGCCGGAGGAAGCAGGUGCAAUAAGCUUUUGCCCGUAUAAAUAUGUGGACUCUAGCAGUAGAAAUAUAACCCAAGCUGGUGUUAUAUAUCAAAUCCCUUUUUAUUCAAGGAAUUUUGUGUUUCCUGCGAUGGGUCAAGCCUGUAAAAACAGAGACAGGAAAUCAAUAAGUAGAGCAAGAAAUAAAAUAAAAAGUAUCCUUGGUUUCAGGCAUGCUGUUUCCUCUCUUCAUCACUGCUGUAACUAAGUGUCUUAUGAUUUGUACCAGCCUUCAUGCUGCUGGGUCUCUCUAUCUCUUCUGGGUGAUCUUUCAGCCAAAGGAGUGUUAAAAUACUGGAUGAAAUUUCACUGUCCUUCACUUCUGUUGGUAUAGAAUUGCUAGCUUGUUAAAUAAGGUUUAUUAGGUAGAUUAGUCAACUACCGUUUCAGUUGAUUAACCAGUGAGAAACCCUAAAAAGCUUUACAGUUACCUAAGAGCACUGCAGGAGUACCACACUUCCCUUCCCAAGUUAACUUGCCCCCCCCCCCCCCGUCAGUCAGUAGUGGAUUUUGGUUUUUUCCUUUUCCUUCUGAUGGAGGGAAGGUAACCAGGCCCUCUGGCUAACUUGACACAAGUGGUAAUGGGCAGGAAGCAAGUAGAAUAGUAGGCACAAAAUUGCAGGCUCUGCUUACAGCAGCUGGAUCAGAGCCGCCGUCGUAACCAUGAAAAUGAAUGUAAGCUUUGAAAAUUUAAUGAAAUACGAAACCUAGUGAGCAACUGGUUUCAAUAUCACCAAUUAAAUGAAAUUUAUAAAGAGGAUUUAAAGAAUGGAUUUGCUGAGCAACGAUCAUACUUUGAAGUUAGUUUGCAUGAAAACAAUGAGAAAUUAAUUUCCAAAACGUAUAAACUGUUGCUAGCAUGGGAAACGAAGGAUGAAAUGGUUAAAACAACAAUGAUGGGCAAAAGAUGUUGGACACAAGAUAGAUAUUGCUGCCUGGGAAAAGCUUUGGAAAACAGAUAUAAGAUUUACAGCACAUUAUGGCUUGAAAGAAACUUAUUAUAAGAUGAUGUAUAGAUUGUAUUUAACGCCAAAGAAUGUAUCAAACAAGUGUUGGUAAUGAAAAUGAAUACCUUAGAAUAUGCAGAUACAGCACUGAUAAGAGCCACAGAUUUCAACUCCAUAAUCACCUUCAAAGUCAAAUAUGGCCAACUACCCACAUCCAUUUUGUGGAGAUUCGGCACAUUGUUUUGCGUCAAGCACUCAGCAAGCAUUACAUGGUGGUGCCAAACAAGAGUAAACAUGGACAACACAGCAAUUCAGAAGAAGAAUCGUGUUCUUGGGGAAACAGAAGUUCAGCACAUGAAUGGAGAGAUCGUGUGCAAAUUUGCUUAGAGGACUGAGAACACAACUGCAUCCUUUCCAUAGAAUGAAGGAGACUCACACUUGUAAAAUGACCUUUGCCUCAGAACAUUCAGUUCUCAUUGUCCCUUGACAAUCUGCUUCUAUCCAUGCUUUACUUCACCAUAAGGAGUGGGUUGGAAGUGUGUGAGAAAUAGCAUGUGGUUCCUGGCCUUGUUGCUCCACUAUCUGGGUCAUGAACAUAUGAAUAGUAUUCUAAUGUUGCAAGGCCUUUAUUACCACCAUUGAUUUUUUUUUAACCCAAUUUCAUCGUGGAUUUAAAUAGAGUUUUGCUUAAAAUUCAAUGGCACAAUAUGGUCCCCCGACAUUAACACAUCCGAAUAUUGACAGCGAAUGAAAAUGCAGCCAUUUUCCCUUCCAAAGCCCUUCCUCUUGAAACAUUAUAAUGUACCCCCUGGGCUCCAGCUGUUUCAUAAUACGCAGCAAAUGGAGUGAAAAUGCUAUUGGAUACAGGUUGGCUGUAAGAAUACUUUUUUAAAAAAAUCCUAUAUGAACAGUACCCAGCCUUUUAAUCAAAUAAUUUCCUAAUCGCUCACUGUGGCAUCCCAAUCAACUCAUCUCCAGUUAAACUCAUCUCUCUCGCCCCAGCCCCCUCCUCCUUACCACUUUCGCUCCACACUUUACUUCAGAAAACGUUCGGCGCAGCCCAUUAAGGAACGCUUUAAUUCAAGAGAGCCUGGCUGAUCAAGAAAAAUUAAGCUCCUAAUAACAGCAAAAUCGAAAGAAAUUUGGAUAAAAUGACUCUCCGCAUCACAGAUUUUGUUUACUAGUGGGUAAUUAAUUCUCCACAUAUGCUGGGAACAUCUGUCGCGGUGACCUGCCAUACUAUCUGUGAAAUGACUGCUGUGCAGCUCCUCCGCAGGCCAUUAGCAACCAUCGGAAAGAAGGCUUUCUCCUUCCUGCCCCCAGCCUGGGCAGUUUUUUACUUUUGCUCCAAUCUGCCACAAUGCAAGUUGCCCUCUACUCCUUCCUUCUGUCUUCUCGCUCAAAAGCCUAUUAAGAAAAACCCUCAUAGAAGGGGGAGCUGGGGAAGCAAGGUAGAGAAGAAUGGGUUUAAUUCCUAGGUAAUCCUAUCAAGCCGCUUCUCUCCUACCUUUCAUUACCUCCAGCUGCUCACAUGGGAACUCAUGAGAUACAGGAAAGAGGACAUUAGGCAAAAGUAUAUCUGCCGCCUUCUCUUCCUAUGGACAAAUCCUAACAUUCCCUAUUAUAAACCAAAGAGCCAAAGUGUAGGAUAUGAUGAUGAAUUGCAGGGGGGGGGGGGACUUUUGUUGGAUGGAAAAGAAUACCAUCCUUGUUUUCAGCAAGGAUGGGAAAGCACACUUAAGGUGGACAGAAUGGGGAAUUGGGUUCAUGUUGUUAACAAUUGGCUUUUAUGGAGAUCUAGCAGCAUGUGCAAAGCCUUUUAUGUAAGUUACAUUUCAGUGCUGAAGGCUGAGAUGUAUGUUUACAAAUUUUCUAUUCCCACUGUUCAAAUUCUGAAUUCUGAAUUUUGAAUCCUGAACUCACAUUUGUGGUCUGAAUGUGACCCCUUUUGCUCUGCUUUCCAGAUUCUGAUGUGUGUUUUUCUUUUGCCAGGUUCCAGUCACAAAACUUCAUAAGCUCUCAACUUUCAAAUACUAAUUACCGCUGCAUUUUGUCUAUUAAAUGUUGUCAGAUACUAAGACUCAUUGCUUGUUAUCUGCUCGCUCCUAUAAGAUAAUAAAGUGUCACUUCAGGUCAUGCUGUAAAAUAUUUCAAGACCAAAAAACAAAAGCCUUUCAGCUUCAUAGAACAAUUGGAACCAAUCCACAUACACCAAAGGAUGUUGCCUUAACUUCUGUGCUGUGUAAACAUGGACAGUUCUACAUAUAGGGGCCAUCUUCAAAGGCAGCCCCAUGUGCAAUGCAUGGCAAUAGUCUAACCUGGAAGUUACCAGAGCGUAGACGACUAAAGCCAGACUGUACCCAGAUGAUGUCAGAGCUGGGCUACCAGCUGAAGCUUGUGGAAGGCCCUCCAUGCCACCGAGGGCACUUGCACCCCAGAACAGGGAUCAGACCAGAGACAGGAAGUUCUUUCUCAGGUCUGCUCCAAAGCUGCACCUCCUCAGCACCUACGAUUGGCUACUGAGCCUUGCAAGUGAUUCCCAGCUGUUAGUGCAAUCAGAGGAGCAUGAAGUGACCCCUCCUUUCAUGCCAUGACCAGGAGGACGAAGUGCAUGCUUUCCAUGGCCAAGGAGGCUGCAAUUACCACUCCCCACGAUUGCAGAGGGAAAUGGGUACUCUUACUCAGCCAUCAACAACUAGGGAAGUUGUUGUCUAGAGCCAAGUCUAGAGCCAAAUUAAAUAUUACAUUAAUCAUGCAGUCUACGUAGGCUUGUUGCUUCAGGAUGCAACCAUAUGGACGCUUGAGAAUAAACACCAGUGUACAGUGGUACCUCGGGUUACAUACGCUUCAGGUUACAUACACUUCAGGUUACAGACUCCGUUAACCCAGAAAUAUUACCUCGGGUUAAGAACUUUGCUUCAGGAUGAGAACAGAAAUCAUGCUCUGGAGGCACGGCAGCAGCAGGAGGCCCCAUUAGCUAAAGUGGUGCUUCAGGUUAAGAACAGUUUCAGGUUAAGAACGGACCUCCGGAAUGAAUUAAUUACUUAACGCAAGGUACCACUGUAUACUGUAAUACGUCAUUCCGUGCACAUAGGAUUGCACUGGUUAAUUGCGCAUCACAGUGCUGGACUGCAACUUUAGCCUUUGGCUAACACUUUGCGAAUUCACAGCUCCCUUGCUUGAAAUCAGCACUCAGGUGGCCAAGCUCCAUUCAGAUGCCAUUGCAUAAUCAGGCGCUUAGAAUUUCAAGCAUUGUCUUCAAGGGCACGUAGAAAAUAUUUUCUACAGAGAAGCAACUUUAUUUAUCCCCAUAGGACUAGAUUAUGCCAGAAUGAGGAGAGAACACCUGCAUCUCCACUAGGACACCUGCUUAUGCAAUAAAUGCCACUUCACUAGCACAGCCGCAGUCUGUCAACGAGGAAGGGGGGGGAAAGAUGCAGACUGCUAAGAAAAUUAGUCUGAAAGAUCACAGCACAGGCAGCAGGGCUUUGACUCUGGCAAAGAUCUCACCUGCACUCUCGUUCCUACUGUUGCGAGGCAUUGCGGUGCUUGCUAUUUUAGUUUUUCUUUAUUAAAAAAAACCUAUUAUAUUUAAUUGAUGCUUCUUUUUGUUCCUUUUUAUUGUUGUCUUUGGUCCUUUUAUGGCACAUUUGUUUUGUCCUGAAACUCAAGAUUAAUGUGCAGGUUUUAUUGCCACCAUGAACAAUUUGGCUGUUUCAUUUGGUUUAGAUCCUGUUUAGUAUCUUGAUGCCAAAUUUAAAGGACUUUGCCAGAUCCUUUGGUAAUAUAAAUUGGAUUUCAGCUAUGUCAAAACAGAUCGCAUAGAUUCACUUGGAGGGCAUGCCUGGGCCGUAGAUUUUUGCACUAUUUGAUUCAGUGUUGUACAUUGCUAAGUCACAGGGAAAAGAGUAGGUUUUUGUAUUUAAAAGGGCAUGACUUUUCCUCCUGCUUCAGAAAUAUUACUACUGUUAACAACAGCAACAAAUCUUUGCAUUUUACAUGCAUGCCAAUAUGAUUUGCAAACAUAUAAGGGUGUCUAAAAUAGUUUUUAAAACAGUGCAAAAAUAACUAGAUUGCUUUAUUGCAUUUUACUUACCGUAACUUUUGUCGUAAUAUUAUGCUGUUGAAACUUCUACUUUAUUGAAACAGUUAUUUGGCCUACUGUGCUAAUCUGAUUUGCCUUGUCUCUGUAUUUUAAUCUUAAUGUUAAUGUUUUUUAAAAAUAAAAUAAAAAUAAAUCUGCUCUUAUUUGAAGUCUUGCUUCCCCCAUAGCUUUGGAUUCCAGCAGAAAUCAAGAAUGGUUCAGUCUCUCUAGCUAUCAGCUUCAUCUAAUGAUGAUACCUAGGUCUAUUAACUCUAGGGUUGCCAUGUUUCAAAAAGUGAAAAUCCGGACAGAAAAGUUGUUGAGCUUUUGCUUUAUUUUGGGAAAGUUGUUAAGCUAUUUUUUUUGGGGGGGGGGCUACAGUAAUCUGAGUAUGUUCAGGAUAUUCCGGACAUAUGUCAACUCACAACGAAACUUGCCUGACUAGUUCAACAACGGAAUCCUCCUCUAGAUUUUAACCUUUGCUGGAUCCAGGAUCCCAGGAAAUAGAAGGGACAGCAUACAGACUGACCCUCGCCACCAACACACAAUAAUAUGAAAACAGAUACUAGCAGGCUCACUUGACACCCAUGUUGGUGACCCCAGCAUAGAUAUUGUAAAUCAAUUAAUCAAUCAAUCCCAAACCUGUGUUUGCUGGUUCACAGUGGAUAUCUGUAACAUCACUUGAAAGUUUCCUGGAUAAAUGGAGAUAAUACAAAGGAAAAAUAACUAUAAGUCAAGCACUCAUCUCUUCCCAUUGAUCUCCAGGGGACUCAAAGCAACUUACAGGUGGCCGGAUUGUGCCCCAUUUUAUUUUUGAAAUAAUGGGUGGUUGUUCCAUUACACUGAGGAUUGCUAUGCUUUUCUGUAAAUUAAUUCUGAAGGGUCAGCAGUAUAAUUCUCUUGUGAAAUGAACUGCUGCAAUAGCUGCCUAGGUAUACAGCAUUAAAAGUAGUCAGGUAGAAUGAUACUAAUGCCCAGGAGAGUUCUUCAUAAUUAGCUGUCAUUUAUACAGCUACUUUCUUCAGCACAUACAAAAUGUACAUAAUUACAGUGUGCUACUAGUGGAUCCGUCCUAGGAAGAGUGGGGUGGGGGAAUGCAUCACCAAAGAAGGGGAUGAAAUACCGUAUUUUUUGCCCUAUAGGACACACUUUUUCCCCUCCAAAAAGUGUGUGUCCUAUGGGGCGAAUGCAGGCUUUCGCUGAAGCCUGGAGAGCCCCACCGCCAGCCCCACAAGCUCGGGGGACAGCGGGGAGGCGGAACGCCGCCAUCCCGCUGUCCCCCGACCUGGUUUGGAGGCUGGCAGCGGGGAGAAGCCUGCUCCUCCCCGUCGCCAGCCCCGCAAACUCGGGGGAUAGAGGGAGAGACGCAGCGUGCCUUUCCCGCUGUCCCCCGACUUGGUUAGAAGGAUGGCGGCGGGAGAAGCCUGCUUCUCCCCGCCUCCAGCCCCGCAAACUUGGGGGAUAGAGGGAGAGGCGCAGCGCGCCUUUCCCGCUGUCCCCGGACCUAGUUUGAAGGCUGGCGGUGGGAGAAGCCUGCUUCUCCCCGCCGCCAGCCCCACAAGCUCGGGGGACAGCUUCCCGCCCCAGCCUCGUGCCGGGGGGGGGAUUUUUUUUUCUUUAUUUCCCCCCCAAAAAACUAGGUGCGUCCUAUGGGCCGGUGCGCCUUAUGGGGCGAAAAAUACGGUACAUCUCAGCAUAGUGGGAAAUACUGUGAUCAGGUGACCUGCAUACCUGCUAAGUCUGCAAGGCAGGUGCUAAUGGUCAGUGGGCAACUUCAGAGCCCUGGCUCUUCCUUUUAUUGUUAUUUAUCUUUAAACCAGACUUGGCAUGGAUAGUCCUCCUGUCUUGGGCCAGAGCCUGUGAAGUAGUAUAUAUGUCACAUGUCGGCCACCUUAGCAAGAGAAGUACUAAGCCUAGUCAACUGAAUGAACCCAAAUCCCAUAUGUGUGAUAAAUUAUCUGCAUCCAGCUGUGUGGAUUGUUGCUUCUUUAAGCAAAGUGAGGCAAUUGUUUUCAUAUGUCUGGGAUGGGAAAGCUGUGGCUCUCCAGAUGUUGUUUGACUACAACGUCUAUCAUCCCUGAUUGCUGGACAUUGUUGGCUGAAGCCAACUGGAGUCGGAGCCUAACAUCGUCCAGAGUGCUACAGGGCUCCCAUCCUUGGCAUACAGUAGAAUAAAAAGAAUGUGGCAAAAAGAGAAAGCCAUGAUGGUUUAAUUGAUGUAUCAGUUUUGAUCCCAUUCCCUUUUUCCUCUUUGGUAUCAAAGAGGCUGUUGUGUUGGCCUCCCAAUGUAAGAAGUAGUAGAAAACAGGUAGAAAGGCUGGGCUGAGCCAGGACUUAGCAAUGGAAUGCAAAAUAUGAGUAUAGGAAGCUGUCUUAUGCCUACACAGACCACUGGUCCAUCUCAGUAUUGUUGAUGUACAGACUAGCAGUUGAACCUGUUCUGAGGAGGCUAGCUUAAGGGGGCAGGGGGCACGGCACACACAGCUCUACCCUCCAUCACCUCGCUAUCACUCCCUAGCCUCUGCCACUGGAGGUACUUGCCUCACUCUGCCCAGUGGUAGGGCUGUGCUUGGCUACUGCUGCAUAUGCUUGCAGGGGAGUACCUAGUAUGUACCUUACAGUAUCACCUUGGCUCUCAGAGACUGUUCUGAAAUCUAGUGAGCAAUCUCUACCAUCAACAACUGCAUCCGGCUAAGGAUCCGGAAUCAAGUGAAUGGGGCACUCUUUUGUUGUUCUUCACUUCCAUUUGUGUGUGUGUGUGUGUGUGUGUGUGUGCGUUCAUGUGUGCGCGUGUGUGUGUUAUAUACACCAAAGUCUAAGCAGAUACCAUUACCAUGAUAAAUCACUUUUUAAUCAGUAAUAAUUUUGCACUAAGUGCUGUGUAAAUGCCCUUUGUUUCACUACUUAAACUGUCAACCGGACUAACAAUGGGACUUCCAGAGCAGUGCCUGUCAUUAGGAGUAGGAAGUAGGGAGGGAAGAGAGAAAUCAAUACAAUUUUUAAUUAAGGGUGCCUCACGACUAGAGCUCUUAAACAAGGAAUUCUCCUUGUCAGAACAUCUCGCCUUUAAACCCUGUUUCAUAUUCUGUCAGCUCAGAAGUUAACGGGCAAGGAAACGGAAGGGAUUUGCAAUGGGCUCCUUUUCUGAAACAGGAAAGGAUGGGCACGUGAGGGGAAUUUCUAGAUCAGGGAUGGUUGGGAACCUCUUCUAUGUCAGGAGCUGUGUUCUCUUGGGAGUAAUCUGCCAGGGACACAACCUUGUGACCACAAGACUGCCUUUGGCCUCAUCUGCACUGUACAUUUAAAGAUCUAUUAUACCACUUUAAACAGUUAUGGCGUUCCACAAAGUAUCCUGAGAACUGGAACUUGUUAGGAGUGCUCAGAGCUUUUAAUAGACCCCAUUGUUGUUGUUGUUUGGUUGUUUAGUUGUGUCCGACUCUUCAUGACCCCAUGGACCAGAGCAUGCCAGGCACUCCUGUCUUCCACUGCCUCCCGCAGUUUGGUCAAACUCAUGCUGGUAGCUUCGAGAACACUAUCCAACCAUCUCGUCCUCUGUCGUUCCCUUCUCCUUGUGCCCUCAAUCUUUCCCAACAUCAGGGUCUUUUCCAGGGAGUCUUCUCUUCUCAUGAGGUGGCCAAAGUAUUGGAGUCUCAGCUUCAGGAUCUGUCCUUCCAGUGAGCACUCAGGGCUGAUUUCCUUAAGAACAGAUAGGUUUGAUCUUCUUGCAGUCCAUGGGACUCUCAAGAGUCUCCUCCAGUAUCCCUGCCAAGAAAACUCCAUGGACAAAGACAACAGGCAUAGACCCCAUACAGAGUUACAAUUCCCAGGAUGGUUUAACAAUCAGUACUUCUUCCCAGGGCAUUCUGGAAAUUGUAACUCUGUUAGGGGAAAUAGGGGUCUCCUAACAAUUCUCAACAUCUUUAACAAAUUACAAAUUCUCAGGAUUUUUUUGGUGGAAGCCAUUACUUUUAAAGUAGUAUCCUUUUGCUUAAAAUGUACAGAUGGAGCCUCUUUCUUUCUUUCUUUCUUUCUUUCUUUCUUUCUUUCUUAUGCCGCCUUCUCUCUCUCCCCAUUUCUGACAGCCCCCUACCUCCCUAUUCCACUUCCUACCUGCCCAAUAGGCUUCUGGGGGAAGAGGGAUGAGGACCACUCUUUCGACUUUUAUCUCUGUUCCCCCCCCCCUUUCACUCUUCUCUCCCUUUGAUCUUUCCCUGAUACUCGCCUUAAAUUCAGCCACAAGAAUGCAGCUGUCAGGCGGCAGGUUCAAAACCCCUGAAUGUAGAGGAAGGAAUCCAGCACUCAGGCAUCCCUCUCAGCUCAAGUGGGUUUAUCAGACACAGCAUAAAAUCUGCAGAUAUUGAUGUCCCUUGAAAUUACUAGAGAGAUCUCGCCCUUUAAAGGCUUUUUGAAAUGAUUUGAUAGACUGUAAAACAGACGUUCUUGUCAGUAAUAUUUUACAAUAUAGAUUUUUGUGUGUGUCGGUGGAGAAGAGGGGAAAAAUGGUUCCUUAUUCUUCUUGAAUUAUUUGUGCUAUUGACUGCCUUGAGCUGUCUUGUCUUUGUUUUGCUGUUCUGCUUCCUCCUCAGCGAUUUCAUCUCCCUCCUUUUUAAGGGUUUCUGAGACUGGUUUGGUUUUUAUCCUAUCUAAGAGAACUUGCUGGUUAAAUUCCCUCCACCCUCCCACAUAGCAAUCAAUGAAGUCAAACAAACUGACGAUUAAUAUGAACAAGAUAGACAUGUUCUCAUUCAGUAGAAAGGCAGAUCUUUGGAUGGGGUGCAAAUGGUUUAGGAUAUACGCCUCAAUUUAGGCCUGCAAUUUGAACCCCAGGGUGUGGCAGUGGCCAGGAGUGUUUUUGCAUAGCUAAGGACAGUACACAAACUACACCUGUCCCUACCAGAUCUGGCCACAAUGACAUGCUUUAGUUUAUAACUUGUUUGGACUACUGCAACACGCUUUGCAUGGGGCUGCCUUUGAAGAGUGUUUAGAAACUCCAGUUGCUACUUCCGGGUUAGCGCCAUCGCCGAAUGGCGGACUCCCUCCGAGCUCCGGAGGGAGUCUGCUCGGCAGGGGCUGGGUCCUACCGCGCCGGCGACGCGGGGACCCUUAAAAACCACGGGCAUGGAGUCCGUGGACAUGGGUGACUCGGCUUGCACCAUUAGCGCCCUCCCGACUCGUGAAGGAGCCUUUUAAAGGCUUCGGAUCGGGUGCCGGGGAGUGGCGUGGUGCUUGAGUCCACUGCUUUCCCUGCCGAGCGCAGCCGCAUGCCAUUCGACGGAGAGCGCUGACUUCUUCUAUUGAAAAUUUGGACUAUUAACAACAACCCGUGAGUAAUUGGGAAACCGGGUUCAAAAUUUUGGAUUUGGCACGAGCGGGGCGAUUUAAAAGGAAGUCAAUCCCCCUAUUGUAAGCAUUCCAAAACAAGGACUGGGUAACCAAGGUCCAAAGGGAAGUAUGUCUCUGAUAAAAAUCAUUAAUUUCACGAUGGGAAAUUAUAAGAAAUGUGCUGGAGGAGAAGAGUGGAGGGUGAGAAGAAAAAUGCAACCCCCCCCCUGGGAACCGGGGCGAUUCGUGGAGCCUGGUGAAGAGAGACGGAGACUUUGACAGCUGUCAAAGUGGCUGUCAAAGCUGGAGAAUAUAAAGAGGACUUUAUGAGGACCUUGCUGGUUAAUUUUGUUACAAUUUGCUAUAAUAUGGAUAUAAACUGUUGGAAAAUAAGCAACAAUUUGACUUUUGGAUUAGAGGAUACAAAGUUAUUACCAUCCCCUAGAGGGGUUUCGGGAUACUACAAGAACGGUCGUAAGUGGAAAAAUACCCUGGGAUUCGCACAGGAUUUGUUAUCUUCUGGGAAAGCUGCAAAACUGAAAGAGUAUUUUGUCUACAGAGGAAGACAAUGGAAUUUUUAUUGAAGAAAGAAAGGGACUGGACGUAAGUUUUGUUCCUGAAUAACAAACCUCUGCAGAGACACUAGAUUUCUGAAUUAGAAAGUUUUAGCAGCUGAACAGGACAAGAAACCUGAGAAAGUGAGGAAUAAGAAGAAUAAAGGACUGAUUACGACACGGAAAGAACAACGGGAGGAGUGGUAAAGAUCAAGGAAAUUAAAGGCCUUUGUUAGAUUGGACAUUUGAAGUCAAACAUUAUUUAAAUUAAUAAACUAAAAGAAAACCGGCAAGAUGGAAUCGGGGAGAAAUCUGGUCAUGAAAUGAGACUUCCAAGCUGAUAAUGUAUAGACUGAUGGACAUGGGGAAUUCAAACCGGGGGAUUUGAAAUCCAAAGGCUGUGUAACCAUUUUUUGAAUUUUUCUAUAUCUCUUAUUUUCUAUUUCUUUACAUAACUUACGCAUGUUAUUUUACUUUGAUUGGACGUGUUUUAAAAAAAAGGGAAUGUGUGGAAGGACCUGGGGUGGAUCUUGGGGACAAUCUUUUUCUUUUUCUGUUAAUGAUGUGGGACGGUGGUAAGAUUUGUACAAUUCAAUCUGGAUAGUGGGUUAAACAAAUUAAGCUUUAAAUUGGGAGUGAGAGCUUGUAGAACCAAAUUAAGGAAAGGGGAAUACAAUUGGGGGGGGGGGAGUCCCAGAAAGUAGGGAAUGAAAGUAAGGUUUUUAAAUAUCUUUUUUCUUUUGUCUUUUUUCUUUGUAUUUUUAUAUUUUUGGAAACUUUAAUAAAUAUGAUUUAAAAAAAAAAAUAGAAACUCCAGUUGCUUCAGAAAGCUGCAACCAGACAAUUAACUGAAGCCAGCAUGUGACUCCCAGAUUAUCACAUCUUUGCUGCCUGCCUGUCAGUUUUCAGGCAUGAUUCUAAGUGUUGGCCAUUACAAUUAAGAUUUGAAAUAUGCUAUUCUCUCAUAUGAACCGGCCAGUGUGUUUUAAGACCCAUCAGAGAGGCUCUUCUGUCUGUCCCACCAAUAUCUGAAGCACCUUUCGCAAAAAAGUUGAUGACAUUUUUUGUUUCUGCUGCUAGGCUUUGGAACUGCUGCCUAACCCUCUCUCUCCCUAGCUAUCUUCCAUAGGCAUUUUUAUUGAAAUAGAACUUCGGCCUCAUAUGAUAUGUUUUGAAAUGCCUCAUAGGAAGAGAUUGAUAAAUGAAAUCAUCAUCACAAUCUGAUUGAUUGUGGCCAUUCUUUUUUAAAGGAAAGCUUUAAAAAAAAAUUAGUCUUAUUAAUGUAUUUUACCUCACCUGUUCUUUUGGGGGGUUUUGUGAGGAUUUUUUUUUUUUUUUUUUUUGCAUUUGUAUUUUAUUGUAGCUAGCCACUUUGAAUAGUAUGUGGUGGAAAGGCUAUACAUUUACCAAAUAGCCAAAGACUAAAUAACAAUCUCACAAGGUGGCAUUUUUCCACACAAAGCUUGUCGUGUUUUUCCCAUGAGUAGUCACUUCUCAUACUAGACAUGGGAUACUAAUGUCAUUUGUUUAUUGAACUGGAUUUGCUCUGAUUAUGGUAUGGCUCCCAGCUGGAAGCAUCAGAGCACUGUAUCUACUAAGCCAAUGGGUUAUAAAUUUAGAUUAUUUUUGUAAUCUAGUCAGAAUUAAGUCCCACAAUUAUUUGGUCACAGGUUUCCAGCCGUACUCUGCGGUACAAACUAUUGUGUAUUGUGGGCCAUGUGACCUUUCUCUUCUUGGUAAGACCAGUACCACAGCUAACAAGAUAGGCCUGUUUCCUUUUGGGACACGAUAUAAUUAUUUUAUUUAAUGCUAACUUGUUGUUGCUGUUUAGUCGUUUAGUCGUGUCCGACUCUUCGUGACCCCAUGGACCAAAGCACACCAGGCACUUCUGUCUUCCACUGCCUCCUGCAGUUUGGUCAGACUCAUGCUGGUAGCUUCGAGAACACUAUCCAACCAUCUCGUCCUCUGUCGUCCCCUUCUCCUUGUGCCCUCCAUCUUUCCCAACAUCAGGAUCUAAAUGCUAACUUACACACCUAAAUGCUAACUUACACAAAUGCUAAUUUACACACCUACAAAAAUGCACAAUGAGUUAAUAAAGUUGUGUGGCCAAAUUUUGAGGGAAUGUAUUGCUGUGAAGGCUAACGCUUCCAUGAGAUUCUCAGUUUGAGCAGAUGAAGCAGUAACGUUUUUUCCUUUCUUUCUUACAGACCCUCUUCCUAAAGUAAUGGCUUAUCCCAAACCUGUUUGUUAGCAAUGGUGGAUGUGGCCUCCAUCUGCAUGAAUUAUCCCCACCUCCACACCUCACGACCAAUAAGACAAUGAAAAGCGGCGUUCCAGGAAGAUUUUGCCUUUUGAGCUCCUUUCUGAUCUAAUGUAAUUGUCCACUGG